This is a long non-coding RNA of Salvelinus fontinalis (brook trout), 1291 nucleotides long. RefSeq lists it as uncharacterized. The transcript has 2 exons. NCBI's taxonomy places the organism in Eukaryota, Metazoa, Chordata, Actinopteri, Salmoniformes, Salmonidae. The record is from RefSeq and is a predicted model, not a curated record.
GGGUCAGUGAGACACAUUACCUCUUCUGUGGACAUGGUGUCAGUGAGUGGAGGAGGGGUGGAUUCCUGGAGAGAGGAAGAGAUAGAGAAAGAGAGAGAGAGAAAGCGAUAGAAAGAAAGAGAGAGAAAGAAAAGAGGGAGUGUGAGAGAGAGGGGGUGGUGGUUCAGAGAUUUGAGUUAUUUUCUCCCUCCAGGUUUACAAAGGGUCAGAUCAGAUGCCCCCUUGUGGUGCUAUUUCUCCAUCACACAGAAUGACUAACUUGCUCAUUACAUAUCAUAUCAUACAUUAUAGCAAGGUCAUGCCAUUGACGUGAGCGUGUGUCCCCUACUGGACAGAAUGGGAUAUUUCUCCUCUUUGAGCUACCAGACGAAUUUAGCUACCAGAGGAAAGCUUGAUGUUGAUGUUGGCCUUAACCUCAGAUCCAGGAUCAGGUUGCCCUAGCCCCAAUCCAAACCUCAACCAUUAUGGGAAUGAAAAACAUCUUCUAAUAUAUCUGACCCCCUAUCAGUGGUUACAGCCAACCUCUAUCUUGAUAUGGGAUGAUACCUGAGCUUCAGCCUGGCUGGUUGAGGAAGAGGAGAAGAGGCACUGAAAUAUUCCCCUCACAGACUGGAUGGAACGCUUCCCUGAAAGACAGGACAGGACAGACAUUUAGAAGACCUGAGCCCUAGGAUCAUACGUCAGGACUACCGGGCAUGAUGACUCCUUGCUGUCCCCAGUCCGCCUGGCCUUGCUGCUAUUCCAGUUUCAACUGUUCUGCCUGCGGUUACGGAACCCCUACCUGUCCCAGACCUGCUGUUUUCAACUCUUAAUGAUCGGCUAUGAAAAGCCAACUGACAUUUAUUCCUGAUUAUUAUCUGACCAUGCUUGUCAUUUAUGAACAUUUUGAAAAUCUUGGCUCUCUCUAAUUUUCUCCUUCUCUCUUUCUUUCUCUCUCUCUCGGAGGACCUGAGCCCUAGGACCAUACGUCAGGACUACCGGGCAUGAUAACUCCUUGCUGUCCCCAGUCCACCUGGCCUUGCUGCUAUUCCAGUUUCAACUGUUCUGCCUGCGGUUAUGGAACCGCCACCUGUCCCAGACCUGCUGUUUUCAACUCUUAAUGAUCGGCUAUGAAAAGCCAACUGAAAAUUAUUCAUGAUUAUUAUUUGACCAUGCUUGUCACUUAUGAACAUUUUGAACAUCUUGGCAUAGUUCUGUUAUAAUCUCCACCCGGCACAGCCAGAAGAGGACUGGCCACCCCUCAUAGCCUGGUUCCUCUCUAGGUUUCUUCCUAGGUGUUGGCCUUUCUAGG